This 482-nucleotide long non-coding RNA is filed under the name Homo sapiens (human). RNAcentral describes it as "HSALNT0318370". The record is from RNAcentral. Lineage: Eukaryota; Metazoa; Chordata; Mammalia; Primates; Hominidae.
GUUCUCACUAUCUUGCCCAGGCUGAGGAGAGAGGAUUGCCUCUCUCCUCAGCCUCCCAAACUCCUGGAAUUAGAGGCUUGAGCUACUUCACCUGACCUCUUUUUCUUUUUAAUUGCAGAUACUCAUGCAGUGAUGAUACGUGUCAAUCAUUUGACGUCAAAUGUAUUUUUCAUUCCAUCUGGCAAAUCAUAUCCCUCUUCUUGAAUGGAAUUCCUCUGUCACUCUGGGUCUUUCAAUUCACCUUGAAGUGUCCAAACGAAAAAGAUGGAUUUGAUGUCGUGAAAUGGCAAUUCUAAAACUCAGGAGAUAUGUUGGUGUUUCUGAGCUCUUACUCCAGUGUCCACUUGUCCAUAGAAUCACCUUUCACUUCUGGGGUCAGAGGACAGCUCCUGGAAUGAUCUCUCAUCUUACGGCAAAAAGGUAAGAGAACUUGGCUGGGCACAGUGGAUCACUCAUGUGAUUCAAGCAUUUUGAGAGGCUGA